Molecule: long non-coding RNA, 294 nt
Filed under: Lathyrus oleraceus (garden pea)
Lineage: Eukaryota; Viridiplantae; Streptophyta; Magnoliopsida; Fabales; Fabaceae
Description: Pisum sativum (pea) long non-coding RNA (PSAT_LNC027256)
Source: RNAcentral
UUUUCACUAGGGUGCACCUGGGCACGAUAUUGAGAAUUGUUAUCUGUAACACCCCAAAAUUUGCCCUCCUCAUUCACGCACUCAUACAUUGCAUUUCAUCGUGUCAAUCGGGAUUAGCUCCACGAAACUUGAAUAUCAUCCAAGAUACAAAAAAAAAAUGAAAAAAAUAAAUAAAUUAAAUAAAUAAUUAAAUAAAUAAAUAAAUAAAAGAAAAAAUCUCAAACUUGGACCUCUCUCAAAAGCCCACUAAGCUACCAAUAUUAGCCUAUAAAUACUAGAGUUUCAUUGAAACAA